AGUGAACGCUGACGGUAGGCCUAACACAUGCAAGUCGAACGGCAGCACAGUAAGAGCUUGCUCUUACGGGUGGCGAGUGGCGGACGGGUGAGGAAUACAUCGGAAUCUACUUUUUCGUGGGGGAUAACGUAGGGAAACUUACGCUAAUACCGCAUACGACCUACGGGUGAAAGCAGGGGAUCUUCGGAACUUGCGCGAUUGAAUGAGCCGAUGUCGGAUUAGCUAGUUGGCGGGGUAAAGGCCCACCAAGGCGACGAUCCGUAGCUGGUCUGAGAGGAUGAUCAGCCACACUGGAACUGAGACACGGUCCAGACUCCUACGGGAGGCAGCAGUGGGGAAUAUUGGACAAUGGGCGCAAGCCUGAUCCAGCCAUACCGCGUGGGUGAAGAAGGCCUUCGGGUUGUAAAGCCCUUUUGUUGGGAAAGAAAAGCAGCAGGUUAAUACCCCGCUGUUCUGACGGUACCCAAAGAAUAAGCACCGGCUAACUUCGUG
This 492-nucleotide ribosomal RNA is filed under the name uncultured bacterium. Its description in RNAcentral is "partial 16S ribosomal RNA". It matches the Rfam family "Bacterial small subunit ribosomal RNA", at positions 29 to 507 of the family's 1533-position model. The record is from RNAcentral.